This 304-nucleotide long non-coding RNA is filed under the name Nicotiana benthamiana. Its description in RNAcentral is "long non-coding RNA (NBEN_LNC015460)". Lineage: Eukaryota; Viridiplantae; Streptophyta; Magnoliopsida; Solanales; Solanaceae. The record is from RNAcentral.
AAUGAAGGUGCCCCUCAUGAGGCUUUAUCUUUUGCUCUUGGUUACCUUGGAGUGAAGGAUCUUUUGACUGUAGAAAGUGUUUGUAGGUCCAUGCGACUUACUGUCAAAAAUGAUCCUUUGUUGUGGAGAAGCAUUCAUAUUGAAAAACCAUUGAAUGAGAUCAGUGACGAUGCCCUCUUGCAAUUGACUUUGCGACUUAGUGUCAAAAAUGAUCCUUUGUUGUGGAGAAGCAUUCAUAUUGAAAAACCAUUGAAUGAGAUCGGUGACGAUGCCCUCUUGCAAUUGACUAGCAGGGCUCAAGGUA